UACGUAGGGGGCGAGCGUUAUCCGGAUUUACUGGGCGUAAAGCGCGUUAAGGCGGUUGGCAAAGUUGGUGGUGAAAUUUCAGGGCUCAACCCUGAAACUGCCUCCAAUACUGGUCGACUUGAGUGCGAGAGAGGAAGGUGGAAUUCCCGGUGUAGUAGUGAAAUGCGUAGAUAUCGGAAGGAACACCAAUGGCGAAGGCAGCUUGCUGGGCCACACCUGACGUUAAGGUACGAAAGCGUGGGGAGCGAACGGG
Molecule: ribosomal RNA, 253 nt
Filed under: uncultured bacterium
Lineage: Bacteria
Description: partial 16S ribosomal RNA
Rfam family: Bacterial small subunit ribosomal RNA
Source: RNAcentral